AAUUUAUAACCUGAUUUUUGUGGACCUGUGGGCUCAAAUGAGAGAGGCCCAAGUCCAAAAUUUUUUUGUUAUAUUUUAUUUAUUUUUUAUUUUAUUUUAUUUUAUUUUUCGUUUUUUUUUGUUUUUUGUUUUUUUUUUUCGUUUUUCGUUUUUUUAAACACGUGGGCUUCGCCUAGCGAGCAUGACAGUUCAAGAAAUUC
Molecule: long non-coding RNA, 200 nt
Filed under: Lathyrus oleraceus (garden pea)
Lineage: Eukaryota; Viridiplantae; Streptophyta; Magnoliopsida; Fabales; Fabaceae
Description: Pisum sativum (pea) long non-coding RNA (PSAT_LNC024636)
Source: RNAcentral